UCAAAAUGUGUUUUAAUUCUGGUUGUUUGCAUUCUCUUCUGCUUCAGGAUCAUCAUGGAAAAGACUAUCAACUUUUUCUCGGAGAUGAGAAGCCUUUUCUUCUAUCAAAAACCCAGAGUGCUCCAGUAAUUGAAUCCAAGUCUUUGGAGCUUCCGGUCCUGACAAAUCAGAUGAAGCAUCCUCUUUUGCAUGUCUUACAGCUUGUUGCAAUGUUCCCAGAGCUUCAGUCAGUGCUGCAGCUUGUUCAGUGGCUAAAGCUUCAGCUUGUUGUCGGGCAGCGGCUGCAGACUGUGUCACUUCUUUUUUCUCAUCAGUUAAUUUCAAUAGCAGUUCCUUUUGAUUGCGAGACUCUUCCGUCAAAUUUUAAAAUCUUCUUUGCAUGAGUUCAAUUCUCGUUCUAAUUCCAGAAUCUUUUUGUCUGCUUCCAUCACCGCGGAUUUUUCUUGGUCACAUUGGGCUUUCGAGAUGGU
This is a long non-coding RNA of Daphnia pulicaria, 470 nucleotides long. RefSeq lists it as uncharacterized. The transcript has 2 exons. The record is from RefSeq and is a predicted model, not a curated record. NCBI's taxonomy places the organism in Eukaryota, Metazoa, Arthropoda, Branchiopoda, Diplostraca, Daphniidae.